AUGUCUGACCCCAGUACCGAAGUUAAUUCUGAACCCACCGUCCCUUCGACCGAAGAGACUACUAACACAGAUACAAAUGACUCUCAGGAAGCAGAAAAGCCAGCACCAGCCAAACGGACAGGAAAGAAAAGAUCGAUGAACUCAGACUUACAAAUUGCGCAGGAAGCAGAAGCUCUCCUUAAGGGACUGUCAACUCCAGACACUGAAAAUGAAGGCCGUCGGACAACAAGAUCUCGAACUCGAGGUUCGACCACACCUGUUGCCACCCCUCCGCCACCUAAAAGAGAACGCAAGUCUGCAUCUGGAACCAGAGGAGGUAGAAGAGGGCGGCCUAAGAAGGAAGAAGUAGAAGUAGAAGAGCCAGAAGAAAAUGAUACUGCAGAAGAAGAGAAGAAAGAAGAAAAUAAUGUUGACGGAAAGGAAAACAAUGUUGAUGCCAAGAAGAAAGAUGAAGAACCCGAAGAGAAGGAAGAAAUAGACGGUGCCGAAGAAAGCACGAAAGAACCGGAAGCAAACUCGGAAAGUGAGAAAGAAGUCUCGACAACUGUUGCGGAAGCAGGAGAAAAAGACAAGAGCAAAGAGGAGAAACCAGAACCAAUGGAAGUAGACGCACCUGAUGCACCUUCAAAACCAACUCCUACACCAACCCCUGAAUCAAAUAGUUCUUGUGUCAAGAGUGAAGAAAAAAGUAAAGAGCCGGAAAAGAAAGAAGAAAAGCCAGUUGAACCUCCAGUAGAAGAAACUAAAAAAGAAAAUACAGAAAAUACAUCACCAGUUGUUGAAAGCGGAGACCAAAAACCUGCCGUAGAAGAAGAAAAGUCAGUUAAAUCAGCUGUUUCAGAGGAAAGUGCACCUCCGAAAACAGAAGCAGACCCUGUGUCAGAGCCUGUAGCUGUCCGUUAAUCCCUCCCACGGCAAACUAAACUUCCUCAUUCUCUGUUGACUGCAUUUUGUACAUUAUUUCCUGAUUCCAAAAAGUUCAUCUGUAGUACUAAUGACGCAAGUUUUUUUGUUCGUUUUCCUUUAUUUCAUGUCGAAAUUGUAAAGAAGAGCACGUUGAACCUUACCAAAAUUGAACUGGAAACUACGUAUUAUAUUUUGAAUCAGCUUGUAACUAAUCUUUAUUAAGAGGCUUCGGUCCUCUGUAUGUAAUAUUUUUAAACCCAUAAUUUUACACUAUGAUGUUAAUGUCUAGUAAAUUAAUGUUGCAUCUUGUCCUACGAGGCUAAUUCUUUACUUUUUGUCUGUGAGUAGCGUUCGACCAAAAUCCUUGUACAUUAAUUUCUUUUUGUCAAGCGCCCUCAUGGAUCUCUUAAUUGUGGUCAAGAAGACAAACCUCUUGAUCCUAGCUGCUUUCUCUUGAUGAGAAAUAUUUGAAAGUUUGUGAACAACAUCAUACACAAGAGUAAAGAAUCAGAUCUCCUUGAUAUAUUUCUCAUUUCUAAGUUUUCCUCAUUUUGAUUUUUUAAGCUGAUGUUAAAUUUUUCUUUUACAUUAUUUUACUUUUCCUUUUCCCUUAUUUCAAGGAAUUUUGUUCUUUCUUUCAAUGUGUUAUAAACUUCAGAUUUUGUGUUUGUGUAUGAAAGGGGGAAAAUUUAUUCAGAAUAAAUAAGUCAUUUUAUUGUAAUAUAAAGAAUUGGAAAGAUUUUUUGGUUUGCAUUUUCACUACUUCUAAUUCCCAUCAACUUGCUUUUGCUUCAUGCUAUCCCUAACUUGAUGAACUACCAGCCAGGUUUAAAAAUUAAACACCAGAACACUUAUAAUUUAUCUUUGAUGAAACUGCAGGAAUGCGUACCUCGUUUGCUGUGCUUAAAAAUCUGU
This 1821-nucleotide long non-coding RNA is filed under the name Bemisia tabaci. RNAcentral describes it as "lncRNA ENSSSA3NGG003369". Lineage: Eukaryota; Metazoa; Arthropoda; Insecta; Hemiptera; Aleyrodidae. The record is from RNAcentral.